CAGCCCUGUAGGAGACACCUCCAGAGAAAGUAACAGCUCUCAAUUGAUUAGCUGAGUCUCAUGAUGUAGCUUUGAGACAAACUACAAUUGUUUAUUUCUUCCUCUUGAAAUAUAGCCUCAGAAUGUGCUGUGAACCUCCACUGCCUUCCCUUUCCCACUUUAUGCUCCUAUGCCUUAUGCAUAUUUAUUAACCCAAAUGCUUGUUAACGCACACCAUGCUCACUUACCUGGUCAUAUCUUUAGAAGCCUCAGGGGCUGGAUCCUGACAUGAACCAGACACCUCCAGAAUUCUAUCCCAAGCAAAAGAUUAUUUCAAGGCCAGAACUCACUCCCUGCUGGAGACUGACUACAAGAUCCACUGAGAUUGAUGUGUAACCUGAUUGGGCCCACAGUGAUGCUAGCCCCUUCACCAGAUGGAACAAUAAUUCCAGACAAGCCAUCAGAGCAGAGAGCAGAGAAGAGGAGAAGCAGCUGGAUGUCAGAGACUGCAGUUUGACGUUGGAGAAAAGCAGCUUGACUUCAGAGGGACAGCUUGACAGCAUGGAUUCAGAGAGGAGAAGAUCACCUUCCUGCUCCGUCCCCUUUCCAGCUCCCUUUCCCACUGAGA
This is a long non-coding RNA of Homo sapiens (human), 607 nucleotides long. The record is from Ensembl. Lineage: Eukaryota; Metazoa; Chordata; Mammalia; Primates; Hominidae.